RNAcentral lists this ribosomal RNA (552 nucleotides) under uncultured bacterium. Its description in RNAcentral is "bacterial SSU rRNA". It matches the Rfam family "Bacterial small subunit ribosomal RNA", at positions 409 to 953 of the family's 1533-position model. The record is from RNAcentral.
AGAACGCCUUCGGGUUGUAAACUGCUUUUGUCAGGCAAGAAAUCUUCUGGGUUAAUACCUCGGGAGGAUGACGGUACCUGAAGAAUAAGCACCGGCUAACUACGUGCCAGCAGCCGCGGUAAUACGUAGGGUGCGAGCGUUAAUCGGAAUUACUGGGCGUAAAGCGUGCGCAGGCGGCUUUGCAAGACAGAUGUGAAAUCCCCGGGCUCAACCUGGGAACUGCAUUUGUGACUGCAAGGCUAGAGUACGGCAGAGGGGGAUGGAAUUCCGCGUGUAGCAGUGAAAUGCGUAGAUAUGCGGAGGAACACCGAUGGCGAAGGCAAUCCCCUGGGCCUGUACUGACGCUCAUGCACGAAAGCGUGGGGAGCAAACAGGAUUAGAUACCCUGGUAGUCCACGCCCUAAACGAUGUCAACUGGUUGUUGGACGGCUUGCUUGUUCAGUAACGAAGCUAACGCGUGAAGUUGACCGACUGGGGAGUACGGACGCAACGUUGAAACUCCAAGGAAUUGACGGGGGACCGCACAAGCGGUGGCAUGAUGUGGCUAAUACG